ACGGACCGGCAAGGAAGGAAAUCUGACCGAGCAACGCCGCGUGAACGACGAAGUACUUUGGUAUGUAAAGUUCUUUUAUCAAGGAAGAAAAGCAAGUGGCGAACCAUUUGUUUGCCGGUACUUGAUGAAUAAGCCCCGGCUAAUUAUGUGCCAGCAGCCGCGGUAAGACAUAAGGGGCAAGUGUUAUCCGGAAUUAUUGGGCGUAAAGGGUGCGUAGGCGGUCUAGUAAGUCAGUGGUGUAAUGGCAACGCUCAACGUUGUCCGGCUAUUGAAACUGCUAAACUUGAGUUAGAUAGAGGCGAGUGGAAUUCCAUGUGUAGCGGUAAAAUGCGUAAAUAUAUGGAGGAACACCAGAGGCGUAGGCGGCUCGCUGGGUCUUAACUGACGCUGAGGCACGAAAGCGUGGGGAGCAAACAGGAUUAGAUACCCUGGUAGUCCACGCCGUAAACGAUGAGUACUAAGUGUCGGGUUAAACCGGUACUGAAGUUAACACAUUAAGUACUCCGCCUGAGUAGUACGUACGCAAGUAUGAAACUUAAAGGAAUUGACGGGACUCCGCACAAGCGGUGGAUCAUGUUGUUUAAUUCGAAGAUACCCGAAAAACCUUACCAGGUCUUGACAUGUUUUUGCGAAACGGUAGUAAUAUCGUAGAGGUUAUCAGAAACACAGGUGGUGCAUGGUUGUCGUCAGCUCGUGUCGUGAGAUGUUAGGUUAAGUCCUAAAACGAGCGAAACCCUUAUCGUUAGUUGCCAGCACGUUAUGGUGGGGACUUUAACGAGACUGCCAGUGAUAAACUGGAGGAAGGUGAGGAUCACGUCAAAUCAGCAUGCCCCUUAUCACCUGGGCUACCAAUCUUCCAACACAGGUGGUGCAUGGUUGUCGUCAGCUCGUGUCGUGAGAUGUUAGGUUAAGUCCUAAAACGAGCGAAACCCUUAUCGUUAGUUGCCAGCACGUUAUGGUGGGGACUUUAACGAGACUGCCAGUGAUAAACUGGAGGAAGGUGAGGAUCACGUCAAAUCAGCAUGCCCCUUAUGACCUGGGCUACAAACGUGAUACAAUGGCUGUUACAAAGGGUAGCUGAAACGUAAGUUCUUGGCCAAUCCCCAAAAACAGUCUCAGUCCGGAUUGAAGUCUGCAACUCGACUUCAUGAAGUUGGAAUCGCUAGUAAUCGCGAAUCAGCAGCGCGUACCCACCAGUAUCUGUCC
RNAcentral lists this ribosomal RNA (1206 nucleotides) under Date palm leaflet phytoplasma. RNAcentral describes it as "bacterial SSU rRNA". It matches the Rfam family "Bacterial small subunit ribosomal RNA", at positions 359 to 1358 of the family's 1533-position model. The record is from RNAcentral. Lineage: Bacteria; Bacillati; Mycoplasmatota; Mollicutes; Acholeplasmatales; Acholeplasmataceae.